CCUACGGGAGGCAGCAGUGAGGAAUAUUGGUCAAUGGGCGCGAGCCUGAACCAGCCAAGUAGCGUGAAGGAUGACUGCCCUACGGGUUGUAAACUUCUUUUAUAAAGGAAUAAAGUGAGGCACGUGUGCCUUUUUGUAUGUACUUUAUGAAUAAGGAUCGGCUAACUCCGUGCCAGCAGCCGCGGUAAUACGGAGGGUGCAAGCGUUACUCGGAAUCACUGGGCGUAAAGAGCGCGUAGGCGGGAUAGCAAGUCAGAUGUGAAAUCCUAUGGCUUAACCAUAGAACUGCAUUUGAAACUGUUAUUCUAGAGUAUGGGAGAGGUAGGCGGAAUGUAUGGUGUAGCGGUGAAAUGCUUAGAGAUCAUACAGAACACCGAUUGCGAAGGCAGCUUACCAAUCUAUAUCUGACGUUGAGGCACGAAAGCGUGGGGAGCAAACAGGAUUAGAUACCCGGGUAGUC
RNAcentral lists this ribosomal RNA (460 nucleotides) under uncultured bacterium. Its description in RNAcentral is "partial 16S ribosomal RNA". It matches the Rfam family "Bacterial small subunit ribosomal RNA", at positions 338 to 795 of the family's 1533-position model. The record is from RNAcentral.